RNAcentral lists this transfer RNA (69 nucleotides) under Abraliopsis sp. 2 FFA-2023. RNAcentral's name for it is "tRNA-Leu". Lineage: Eukaryota; Metazoa; Mollusca; Cephalopoda; Oegopsida; Enoploteuthidae. The record is from RNAcentral.
GCAAAGUUGGCAGAAUUUAUGUGAAUAACUUAGGAUUAUUUUAUAAGAUUAUUUUAAUCUUACUUUGUA